UACAUAUUUCCUAUGACACGUAUCAAGAUUUAAGAUGACAUUUCAUUGGGUGUGUCAUCUGGAUGGAGUUAUCCAGACUUGAUUCAAAGGUACCAAAUAUAGACCAUCAAGUUUCUCGAUUUGUAAGCCAAGCCAUUUUUGUUAGAUACAAGCCUUUUAACCAGUUUGUGGUACAAAGAUACACGUCAGGAGGACCCUUAGGAGUCGUGGACAAGCCUCCCUGCAUGUGGCAGGUAUGUUUCUUGGGUAUGUGUCUAAGAAAUGUAACUUAAUUUCUUCUUUUAU
RNAcentral lists this long non-coding RNA (285 nucleotides) under Ictidomys tridecemlineatus (thirteen-lined ground squirrel). RNAcentral describes it as "lncRNA (ENSSTOG00000034347.1)". Lineage: Eukaryota; Metazoa; Chordata; Mammalia; Rodentia; Sciuridae. The record is from RNAcentral.